RNAcentral lists this ribosomal RNA (496 nucleotides) under uncultured bacterium. RNAcentral describes it as "partial 16S ribosomal RNA". It matches the Rfam family "Bacterial small subunit ribosomal RNA", at positions 29 to 507 of the family's 1533-position model. The record is from RNAcentral.
AUGCACGCUGGCGGCGUGCCUAAUACAUGCCAGUCGAGCGAACGGACGAGAAGCUUGCUUCUCUGAUGUUAGCGGCGGCCGGGUGAGUAACACGUGGAUAACCUACCUAUAAGACUGGGAUAACUUCGGGAAAUCGGAGCUAAUACCGGAUAAUAUUUUGAACCGCAUGGUUCAAAAGUGAAAGACGGUCUUGCUGUCACUUAUAGAUGGAUCCGCGCUGCCUUAGCUAGUUGGUAAGGUAACGGCUUACCAAGGCAACGAUGCAUAGCCGACCUGAGAGGGUGAUCGGCCACCCUGGAACUGAGACACGGUCCGGACUCCUACGGGAGGAAGCAGUAGGGAAUCUUCCGCAAAGGGCGAAAGCCUGACGGAGCAACGCCGCGUGAGUGAUGAAGGUCUUCGGAUCGUAAAACUCUGUUAUUAGGGAAGAACAUAUGUGUAAGUAACUGUGCACAUCUUGACGGUACCUAAUCAGAAAGCCACGGCUAACUACGUG